RNAcentral lists this ribosomal RNA (681 nucleotides) under uncultured bacterium. RNAcentral describes it as "bacterial SSU rRNA". It matches the Rfam family "Bacterial small subunit ribosomal RNA", at positions 8 to 680 of the family's 1533-position model. The record is from RNAcentral.
AGGGUUUGAUCAUGGCUCAGAUUGAACGCUGGCGGUAUGCUUAACACAUGCAAGUCGAACGGAAACGAAACUAGCUUGCUAGUAGGCGUCGAGUGGCGGACGGGUGAGUAACGCGUAGGAAUCUGCCUGAUAGUGGGGGAUAGCCCGAAGAAAUUCGGAUUAAUACCGCAUAAUCUAUUCGUAGUAAAGUGGGGGACUUUCGAGCCUCACGCUAUCAGAUGAGCCUGCGUAAGAUUAGCUUGUUGGUAGGGUAAAAGCCUACCAAGGCUACGAUCUUUAGCUGGUCUGAGAGGAUGAUCAGCCACAUCGGGACUGAGACACGGCCCGAACUCCUACGGGAGGCAGCAGUGGGGAAUAUUGGACAAUGGGGGUAACCCUGAUCCAGCAAUACCGCGUGUGUGAAGAAGGCCUGAGGGUUGUAAAGCACUUUCAAUUGUGAAGAAAAGUUAACGGUUAAUAACCGUUAACCUUGACGUUAACUUUAGAAGAAGCACCGGCUAACUCCGUGCCAGCAGCCGCGGUAAUACGGAGGGUGCAAGCGUUAAUCGGAAUUACUGGGCGUAAAGCGUGCGUAGGCGGUUUAUUAAGUCAGAUGUGAAAGCCCCGGGCUUAACCUGGGAACUGCAUUUGAAACUGGUCAACUAGAGUAUGGUAGAGGAAAGUGGAAUUUCUGGUGUAGCG